RNAcentral lists this ribosomal RNA (379 nucleotides) under uncultured Actinomycetes bacterium. RNAcentral describes it as "bacterial SSU rRNA". It matches the Rfam family "Bacterial small subunit ribosomal RNA", at positions 521 to 896 of the family's 1533-position model. The record is from RNAcentral. Lineage: Bacteria; Bacillati; Actinomycetota; Actinomycetes.
UAACACGUAGGGAGCAAGCGUUGUCCGGAUUUAUUGGGCGUAAAGAGCUCGUAGGCGGUUUAGUAAGUCGGGUGUGAAAACUUGAGGCUCAACCUCAAGAGGCCACUCGAUACUGCUGUGACUGGAGUCCGGUAGAGGAGUGUGGAAUUCCUGGUGUAGCGGUGAAAUGCGCAGAUAUCAGGAGGAACACCGACAGCGAAGGCAGCACUCUGGGCCGGUACUGACGCUGAGGAGCGAAAGCAUGGGGAGCGAGCAGGAUUAGAUACCCUGGUAGUCCAUGCCGUAAACGUUGGGCACUAGGUGUGGGGUCUAGCUAACAGAUUCCGUGCCGCAGCUAACGCAUUAAGUGCCCCGCCUGGGGAGUACGGCCGCAAGGCUA